UGCACGUUGGCCUAAGGACUAUGGUGGU
RNAcentral lists this non-coding RNA (28 nucleotides) under Mus musculus (house mouse). Lineage: Eukaryota; Metazoa; Chordata; Mammalia; Rodentia; Muridae. The record is from RNAcentral.